Molecule: ribosomal RNA, 253 nt
Filed under: uncultured bacterium
Lineage: Bacteria
Description: partial 16S ribosomal RNA
Rfam family: Bacterial small subunit ribosomal RNA
Source: RNAcentral
UACGAAGGGUGCAAGCGUUACUCGGAAUUACUGGGCGUAAAGCGUGCGUAGGCGGUUUGUUAAGUCUGUCGUGAAAGCCCUGGGCUCAACCUGGGAAUUGCGAUGGAUACUGGCAAGCUAGAGUACGGUAGAGGAUGGUGGAAUUCCCGGUGUAGCGGUGAAAUGCGUAGAGAUCGGGAGGAACACCCGUGGCGAAGGCGGCCAUCUAGACCAGUACUGACGCUGAGGCACGAAAGCGUGGGGAGCAAACAGG